This 498-nucleotide ribosomal RNA is filed under the name Bombus luteipes. Its description in RNAcentral is "partial 16S ribosomal RNA". The stretch from base 375 to 498 matches the Rfam family "Bacterial large subunit ribosomal RNA", at positions 2473 to 2597 of the family's 2925-position model. Lineage: Eukaryota; Metazoa; Arthropoda; Insecta; Hymenoptera; Apidae. The record is from RNAcentral.
GGCUUAUUGAUGUUAAUUUUAAGUCAAUCUGCCCAAUGAUUAAUAAUUUAAUGGCUGCAGUAUAACUGACUGUACAAAGGUAGCAUAAUCAAUUGUUUUUUAAUUAAGAACUGGAAUGAAAGAAUUAAUGAGAUAUAUACUGUCUCAUAUAUAUUUAAUUAAUUUAAAUUUUUAGUAAAAAUGCUUAAAUAAGUUUAUGGGACGAUAAGACCCUAUAGAAUUUUAUAUUAAUUUGUAGAUUAGUUGAUAUUUUAUUGAUUAAUAUUUAGUUGGGAGGAUUGAUAAAUUGAAUGAACUUUAUCUUUAAUUUAAACUUUGAUAUAAGAAUUAGUGAUGAUCUUGUAUUAUUGAUUAUAAGAAUAAAUUACCUUAGGGAUAACAGCGUAAUAUCUUUUUAAAGAUCGUAUUAAUAAAGAUGAUUGCGACCUCGAUGUUGAAUUAAGAUAAAUUUUAAAUGAAGAAGUUUAAUAAUUAAGUCUGUUCGACUUUUAAAAUCUU